CUGGCCCUUUUAGGGUCCGAGUUGUAAUUUGCAGAGGGCGCUUUGGCAUUGGCAGCGGUCCAAGUUCCUUGGAACAGGACGUCACAGAGGGUGAGAAUCCCGUACGUGGUCGCUAUCCUUUGCUGUGUAAAGCCCCUUCGACGAGUCGAGUUGUUUGGGAAUGCAGCUCUAAAUGGGAGGUAAAUUUCUUCUAAAGCUAAAUACUGGCCAGAGACCGAUAGCGCACAAGUAGAGUGAUCGAAAGAUGAAAAGCACUUUGGAAAGAGAGUCAAAUAGCACGUGAAAUUGUUGAAAGGGAAGCGCUUGCAGCCAGACUUGCCUGUAGUUGCUUAUCUGGACUUUUGUCCAGUGCACUCUUCUGCAGGCAGGCCAGCAUCAGUUUGGGCGGUUGGAUAAAGGUCUCUGUCAUGUACCUCUUUUCGGGGAGGCCUUAUAGGGGAGACGACAUGCAACCAGCCCAGACUGAGGUCCGCGCAUCUGCUAGGAUGCUGGCGUAAUGGCUGUAAGCGGCCCGUCUUGAAACACGGACCAAGGAGUCUAACAUCUAUGCGAGUGUUUGGGUGUCAAGCCCAGACGCGUAAUGAAAGUGAACGGAGGUGGGAACCCUUUGGGUGCACCAUCGACCGAUCCUGAUGUCUUCGGAAGGAUUUGAGUAAGAGCAUGGCUGUUGGGACCCGAAAGAUGGUGAACUAUGCUUGAAUAGGGUGAAGCCAGAGGAAACUCUGGUGGAGGCUCGCAGCGGUUCUGACGUGCAAAUCGAUCGUCAAAUUUGGGCAUAGGGGCGAAAGACUAAUCGAACUAUCUAGUAGCUGGUUCCUGCCGAAGUUUCCCUCAGGAUAGCAGUAACGUAUUCAGUUUUAUGAGGUAAAGCGAAUGAUUAGAGGCCUGGGGGGUUGAAACAACCUUCACCUAUUCUCAAACUUUAAAUAUGUAAGAAGUCCUUGUUACUUGAUUGAACGUGGACAUUUGAAUGUACCGUUACUAGUGGGCCAUUUUUGGUAAGCAGAACUGGCGAUGCGGGAUGAACCGAACGCGGGGUUAAGGUGCCAGAAUAUACGCUCAUCAGACACCACAAAAGGUGUUAGUUCAUCUAGACAGCAGGACGGUGGCCAUGGAAGUCGGAAUCCGCUAAGGAGUGUGUAACAACUCACCUGCCGAAUGAACUAGCCCUGAAAAUGGAUGGCGCUCAAGCGUAUUACCCAUACCCCGCCGCCAGGGCAGAAUUUA
Molecule: ribosomal RNA, 1227 nt
Filed under: Phaeosphaeriopsis sp.
Lineage: Eukaryota; Fungi; Ascomycota; Dothideomycetes; Pleosporales; Phaeosphaeriaceae
Description: LSU rRNA
Rfam family: Eukaryotic large subunit ribosomal RNA
Source: RNAcentral